AUACAUGCAAGUCGAGGGGCAGCGGAUCCCUCCGGGGAUGCCGGCGACCGGCGAACGGGUGAGUAACACGUAUGGAACCUACCCUUAACUGGGGGAUAGCCCCGAGAAAUCGGAGUUAAUACCCCAUAUUAUAAUAAAGGGGCAUCCCUUUAUUAUGAAAGCUCGGGCGGUUAAGGAUGGCCAUGCGGUCCAUUAGCUUGUUGGUGAGAUAAAAGCUCACCAAGGCCACGAUGGAUAGCUGAUCUGAGAGGAUGAUCAGCCACAUUGGCACUGAGACACGGGCCAAACUCCUACGGGAGGCAGCAGUAGGGAAUCUUGGUCAAUAGGCGAAAGCCUGAACCAGCCAUGCCGCGUGCAGGAUGAAGGCCCUACGGGUCGUAAACUGCUUUUAUUCGGGAAGAAAAAGUCUGUGUCCACAGACCUUGACGGUACCGAAUGAAUAAGGACCGGCCAACUCCGUGCCAGCAGCCGCGGUAAUACGGAGGGUCCAAGCGUUAUCCGGAAUCAUUGGGUUUAAAGGGUCCGUAGGCGGGAUAAUAAGUCAGUGGUGAAAGUCUGCAGCUCAACUGUAGAAUUGCCAUUGAUACUGUUGUUCUUGAGUUAUUGUGAAGUGGUUAGAAUGAGUAGUGUAGCGGUGAAAUGCAUAGAUAUUACUCACAAUACCGAUUGCGAAGGCAGAUCACUAACAAUACACUGACGCUGAUGGACGAAAGCGUAGGUAGCGAACAGGAUUAGAUACUCUGAUAGUCUACGCCGUAAACGAUGGUUACUAGCUGUUCGGGUUAAUUGAGACCUGAGUGGCUAAGCGACAGUGAUCUGAACCCACCUGGGGAGUAUGGUCUCAAGGC
RNAcentral lists this ribosomal RNA (848 nucleotides) under uncultured bacterium. RNAcentral describes it as "bacterial SSU rRNA". It matches the Rfam family "Bacterial small subunit ribosomal RNA", at positions 51 to 894 of the family's 1533-position model. The record is from RNAcentral.